Molecule: ribosomal RNA, 409 nt
Filed under: bacterium enrichment culture clone ALO1_GLFRUDD03FNLZF
Lineage: Bacteria
Description: bacterial SSU rRNA
Rfam family: Bacterial small subunit ribosomal RNA
Source: RNAcentral
GAGUUUGAUCGUGGCUCAGAUUGAACGCUGGCGGCAUGCCUUACACAUGCAAGUCGAACGGCAGCACGGGAGCUUGCUCCUGGUGGGCGAGUGGCGAACGGGUGAGUAAUGCAUCGGAACGUAUCCUGGAGUGGGGGAUAACGUAGCGAAAGUUACGCUAAUACUGCAUAUUCUGUGAGCAGGAAAGCGGGGGACCUUCGGGGCCUCGCGCUCUUGGAGCGGCCGAUGUCGGAUUAGCUAGUUGGUGAGGUAAAGGCUCACCAAGGCGACGAUCCGUAGCAGGUCUGAGAGGAUGAUCUGCCACACUGGAACUGAGACACGGUCCAGACUCCUACGGGAGGCAGCAGUGGGGAAUUUUGGACAAUGGGGGCAACCCUGAUCCAGCCAUGCCGCGUGAGUGAAGAAGGCC